Molecule: transfer RNA, 74 nt
Filed under: Paenibacillus lentus
Lineage: Bacteria; Bacillati; Bacillota; Bacilli; Caryophanales; Paenibacillaceae
Description: tRNA-Cys
Rfam family: tRNA
About the family: Transfer RNA (tRNA) molecules are approximately 80 nucleotides in length.
Source: RNAcentral
GGGAGUAUAGCCAAAUGGUAAGGCGAGGGCUCGCAAAGCCCUAGGUUCUGGUUCGAAUCCAGAUACUCCCUUCA